ACGGUUACCCUGACCGGGUUCUGAAACAGCCCGGGGCUUUCAGCACAGAUGAGAAGUCUAAAAAUUUCCCUUUUCAUUUCCUCUCUUGUGUGACUUUGUCAUUUUUAAAAAAACUGGUCACAGAAAAGGGAAUUUUGCCCAUGCUUUUAAGGAGUUUAUCUCGACUGAGUAGCUUCCCCGCCACUCCUCUAAAAUCCCUCCUCAAAAACCCCAAGUUAAAAAAAAAAAGAUCUAUUCUUGUAGAUUUUUUUGUGUGGGUCUAUGUUUCAUUCAUCUGCUUUUAGGCUGGAUUUAUAACAAGCAGAUCUUUUAAAAUGGUAUGAUUUUAAAAUAAAAUUUAAAAAAACCACACUGAGAUCUUUCCAUAGCUUUGGCUUCUGGGAGUUGAAAGCGCAGGAGGAAAAUAGAGCAAAAAGGUAGAACUUACUUCCACACCCAAGUUUCUCCUGAAAGCACUGUGCCUGUUUUGUUUGCUACACAUCUUAGCUUCAGGAAAAAGAGGACCUUAGAACUGAAGGAGCAAGGAUCCAGCAUCACACUGUUUUUGUUAGCUGUGUGUGUGUGUUUCCUGUGUAUCCAAAAGACAGAGGAGAUGAAAAAGCAAAAGAGAAGAAACGAGGAAUCAGAUUGGAAAGAGAAGAUUUCUCCAGGACAUCACCUGUAUGAGGUACACAGUGUGAUGACACAUUCUAUGCUUUUCCUACUUGUCUCCACGUGAGUGUCUGGAGCUGCCCUUCAAGGAAAGCAAUAGAUGAAUGAUUCUGCCUUCCUGCUGAGAGGGAUGUGGGUCCUGCGGAUGGUCGGGGUGAAGCUUCCUCUCCUUUCUGCUGACAGCACUUCCUCAUUAAAUGCAGAGAUCUGCAAAAAGGGAAAAUAAAAACACAAGAAGAAAAA
Pongo pygmaeus (Bornean orangutan) is the source of this 894-nucleotide long non-coding RNA. RefSeq lists it as uncharacterized. The transcript has 4 exons. The record is from RefSeq and is a predicted model, not a curated record. Lineage: Eukaryota; Metazoa; Chordata; Mammalia; Primates; Hominidae.